CAGCCGUAAACUAUGCGCGUUAGGUGUACUGGUGACCACGAGUCACCGGGGUGCCGAAGGGAAACCGUGAAACGUGCCGCCUGGGAAGUACGGUCGCAAGGCUGAAACUUAAAGGAAUUGGCGGGGGGAGCACCACAACGGGUGGAGCCUGCGGUUUAAUUGGACUCAACGCCGGACAUCUCACCGGAUAAGACAGCUGAAUGAUUGUCAAUCUGAAGGUUUUUACAUGACUAGCUGAGAGGAGGUGCAUGGCGUCAGUGACU
RNAcentral lists this ribosomal RNA (263 nucleotides) under uncultured archaeon. RNAcentral's name for it is "partial 16S ribosomal RNA". It matches the Rfam family "Archaeal small subunit ribosomal RNA", at positions 748 to 1008 of the family's 1478-position model. The record is from RNAcentral.